CUUCUUGUAGCUCAGUUGGAUCAGAGCGCCUGCUUCGCAAGCGGAGGGCCGGGGGUUCGAAUCUCCCCAAGGUUUC
This 76-nucleotide transfer RNA is filed under the name compost metagenome. RNAcentral's name for it is "tRNA-Ala". The stretch from base 4 to 71 matches the Rfam family "tRNA". From Rfam's summary of the family: Transfer RNA (tRNA) molecules are approximately 80 nucleotides in length. The record is from RNAcentral.